Long non-coding RNA from Carassius gibelio (silver crucian carp), 490 nucleotides. RefSeq lists it as uncharacterized. The transcript is spliced from 3 exons. NCBI's taxonomy places the organism in Eukaryota, Metazoa, Chordata, Actinopteri, Cypriniformes, Cyprinidae. The record is from RefSeq and is a predicted model, not a curated record.
CACCUCCACCCUUCAACUCCUCUACAACUCCACCCAUCAACUCCACUACACCUCCACCCUUCACCUCCACUAAAGCUCCACCCUUCAACUCCACUACAGCUCCGACCUUCAACUCCACUACAGCUCCACCCUUCACCUCCACUAAAGCUCCACCCAAAGAUGUUCUGACGAUCCUCACUAAUCUGGAGGUGGAGGUUUUGGCCGAGGAGUCGUCCACUGAAGAAGAGCGUCGAGCUGCACUGCUUCAGGUCGCCACUUUUGUGGAGAAUUACUUAAGAGGGAAUUAUAAUGACAUCAGCUCUUUUGAGGUCACAAGAAUUGAGUCACUAUCACCGUGUGAUUGAGACAGAAAUCAGCCAAGAGGAACAGAUGUGUAUUAACUCUCAUCGCUACUAAUUUGUACUAUUUUAAUAUGAGAUCUGGUUAUUUAUGGUCAUGGUUCAACAAAAACACUGCAAUUACUGAUACAUACAAUGCUUAUAUAUUUAAU